GUCAGCAUGACUUAGUAGUUUUAGUGUUGGAUUAUGACUCUAGAGACCAGGGUUCAAUUCCCAGAUUGGUCA
Molecule: non-coding RNA, 72 nt
Organism: Phrynosoma platyrhinos (Desert horned lizard)
Lineage: Eukaryota; Metazoa; Chordata; Lepidosauria; Squamata; Phrynosomatidae
Source: the annotation of a GenBank genome assembly